GAUGAACGCUGGCGGCGUGCCUAAUACAUGCAAGUCGAGCGAACGGCCGAGGAGCUUGCUUCUCUGAUGUUAGCGGCGGACGUGUGAGUCACACGUGGGUAACCUACCUAUAUGACUUGGAUCACUUCGGGAGACCGCAGCUAAUACCGGCUGAUAAUACGAACCGCAUGGUUCAAAAGUCAUAGACGGUCUUGCUGUCACUUAUAGAUGUAAGCUGGCUGCAUUAGCUAGUUGGUAAGGUAACGGCUUACCAAGGCAACGAUGCAUAACCGACCUGAGAGGGUGAUCGGCUAGACGGGAACUGAGACACGGUCGAGACUCCUACGGGAGGCAGCAGUAGGGAAUCUUCCGCAAUGGGCGAAAGCCGGACGGAGCAACGCCGCGUGAGUGAUGAAGGUCUUCGGCUCGUAAAACUCUGUUAUUAGGGAAUAACAUAUGUGUAAGUAACUGUGCACAUCUUGACGGUACCUAAUCAGAAAGCCACGGCUAACUACGUG
RNAcentral lists this ribosomal RNA (497 nucleotides) under uncultured bacterium. RNAcentral's name for it is "partial 16S ribosomal RNA". It matches the Rfam family "Bacterial small subunit ribosomal RNA", at positions 28 to 507 of the family's 1533-position model. The record is from RNAcentral.